GUAGGGAAUCUUCCACAAUGGACGAAAGUCUGAUGGAGCAACGCCGCGUGAGUGAAGAAGGUUCUCGGAUCGUAAAACUCUGUUGUGAGGGAAGAACAAGUACCGGAGUAACUGCCGGUACCUUGACGGUACCUCAUUAGAAAGCCACGGCUAACUACGUGCCAGCAGCCGCGGUAAUACGUAGGUGGCAAGCGUUGUCCGGAAUCAUUGGGCGUAAAGCGCGCGCAGGCGGUCCCUUAAGUCUGAUGUGAAAGCCCACGGCUCAACCGUGGAGGGUCAUUGGAAACUGGGGGACUUGAGUGCAGAAGAGGAAAGCGGAAUUCCAAGUGUAGCGGUGAAAUGCAUAGAGAUUUGGAGGAACACCAGUGGCGAAGGCGGCUCACUGGCCCAAUACUGACGCUGAGGCGCGAAAGCGUGGGGAGCAAACAGGAUUAGAUACCCUGGUAGUCC
RNAcentral lists this ribosomal RNA (450 nucleotides) under uncultured bacterium. RNAcentral describes it as "partial 16S ribosomal RNA". It matches the Rfam family "Bacterial small subunit ribosomal RNA", at positions 354 to 796 of the family's 1533-position model. The record is from RNAcentral.